This 253-nucleotide ribosomal RNA is filed under the name uncultured bacterium. RNAcentral describes it as "partial 16S ribosomal RNA". It matches the Rfam family "Bacterial small subunit ribosomal RNA", at positions 524 to 776 of the family's 1533-position model. The record is from RNAcentral.
CACGUAGGGCGCAAGCGUUGUCCGGAAUUAUUGGGCGUAAAGAGCUCGUAGGCGGUCUGUUGCGUCCGCUGUGAAAGCUCGGGGCUUAACCCCGAGCCUGCAGUGGAUACGGGCAGACUAGAGGUAGGUAGGGGAGAAUGGAAUUCCCGGUGUAGCGGUGAAAUGCGCAGAUAUCGGGAGGAACACCGGUGGCGAAGGCGGUUCUCUGGGCCUUACCUGACGCUGAGGAGCGAAAGCGUGGGGAGCGAACAGG